UACGAAGGGGGCUAGCGUUGUUCGGAUUUACUGGGCGUAAAGAGCUCGUAGGCGGUUUGUCGCGUCUGCUGUGAAAUCCCGAGGCUCAACCUCGGGUCUGCAGUGGGUACGGGCAGACUAGAGUGUGGUAGGGGAGAUUGGAAUUCCUGGUGUAGCGGUGGAAUGCGCAGAUAUCAGGAGGAACACCGAUGGCGAAGGCAGCCAUCUGGACCGACACUGACGCUGAGGCGCGAAAGCGUGGGGAGCAAACAGG
Molecule: ribosomal RNA, 253 nt
Filed under: uncultured bacterium
Lineage: Bacteria
Description: partial 16S ribosomal RNA
Rfam family: Bacterial small subunit ribosomal RNA
Source: RNAcentral